GGCGGACGGGUGAGUAACGCGUGGACGAUCUACCCAAGGAUUCGGGAUAACCUUGCGACAGCGGGGCUAAUACCGAAUGGUCUGGGCAUUUUGAAAUGUGCCUGGUAAAGGUGGCCUCUGAUUCAAGCUAUCGUCUUUGGAUGGGUCCGCGUCCCAUUAGCUUGUUGGUAGGGUCAAGGCCUACCAAGGCGACGAUGGGUUGCUGGUCUGAGAGGAUGAUCAGCCACACUGUGACUGGAACACGGCCCAGACUCCUACGGGAGGCAGCAGUGGGGAAUAUUGGGCAAUGGGCGCAAGCCUGACCCAGCAACGCCGCGUGAGGGAAGAAGGUCUUCGGAUCGUAAACCUCAGUCAGGAGGGAAGAAAUGGGUUGUCCUGAACAGGGAUGGCCUUUGACGGUACCUCCAGAGGAAGCACCGGCCAACUCUGUGCCAGCAGCCGCGGUAAUACGGAGGGUGCAAGCGUAAUUCGGAAUCACUGGGCGUAAAGGGCACGUAGGCGGCUUUGCAAGUCAGGUGUGAAAGCCCUCGGUUUCAACCGAGGAAUUGCAUUUGAAACUGUAGAGCUCGAAGUUCGGGAGAGGGGUUGGCGGAAUUCCAGGUUGUAGGAGUGAAAUCCGAAGAAUUUUGGAGGAAACACCAGAAGCUGAAGGGGGCCACCUGGACCGAAACUGAACGCUGAGGUGCGAAAGCGUGGGGAGCAAACAGGAUUAGAUACCCCUGGUAGUCCAACGCCGUAAACGAUGGAUGCUAGAUGCUGGGUGUGUAAGACACUCGGUGUCGGAGUUAACGCGUUAAGCAUCCCGCCUGGGGAGUACGGUCGCAAGGCUGAAACUCAAAGAAAUUGACGGGGGCCCGCACAAGCGGUGGAGUAUGUGGUUUAAUUCGAUGCAACGCGAAGAACCUAGCCUGGGCUUGACAUCCCGGGAACCUCCUGGAAACAGGGGCGUGCUCUUCGGGGAACCCGGUGACAGGUGCUGCAUGGCUAUCGUCAGCUCGUGCCGUGAGUUGUUGGGUUAAGUCCCGCAACGAGCGCAACCCUUGUCCUUAGUUGCCAUCAGGUAAAGCUGGGCCCUCUAGGGAGACUGCCGAGGUGAACUCGGAGGAAGGUGGGGACGACGUCAAGUCAUCAUGGCCCUUACGCCCAGGGCUACACACGUACUACAAUGGUGGGUACAAAGGGAAGCCAAGCCGCGAGGUGGAGCCAAUCCCGAAAAGCCUACCCCAGUCCAGAUCGCAGUC
This 1241-nucleotide ribosomal RNA is filed under the name uncultured organism. RNAcentral describes it as "bacterial SSU rRNA". It matches the Rfam family "Bacterial small subunit ribosomal RNA", at positions 97 to 1305 of the family's 1533-position model. The record is from RNAcentral.